Molecule: ribosomal RNA, 545 nt
Filed under: Aspergillus fumigatus
Lineage: Eukaryota; Fungi; Ascomycota; Eurotiomycetes; Eurotiales; Aspergillaceae
Description: eukaryotic LSU rRNA
Rfam family: 5.8S ribosomal RNA (bases 164-317)
Source: RNAcentral
CAACCUCCCACCCGUGUCUAUCGUACCUUGUUGCUUCGGCGGGCCCGCCGUUUCGACGGCCGCCGGGGAGGCCUUGCGCCCCCGGGCCCGCGCCCGCCGAAGACCCCAACAUGAACGCUGUUCUGAAAGUAUGCAGUCUGAGUUGAUUAUCGUAAUCAGUUAAAACUUUCAACAACGGAUCUCUUGGUUCCGGCAUCGAUGAAGAACGCAGCGAAAUGCGAUAAGUAAUGUGAAUUGCAGAAUUCAGUGAAUCAUCGAGUCUUUGAACGCACAUUGCGCCCCCUGGUAUUCCGGGGGGCAUGCCUGUCCGAGCGUCAUUGCUGCCCUCAAGCACGGCUUGUGUGUUGGGCCCCCGUCCCCCUCUCCCGGGGGACGGGCCCGAAAGGCAGCGGCGGCACCGCGUCCGGUCCUCGAGCGUAUGGGGCUUUGUCACCUGCUCUGUAGGCCCGGCCGGCGCCAGCCGACACCCAACUUUAUUUUUCUAAGGUUGACCUCGGAUCAGGUAGGGAUACCCGCUGAACUUAAGCAUAUCAUAAGCGAAGGAA